CAAAACGUAGUUUAAACAAAACAUUCCACUUACACUGGAAAAAUUUUCUGUUAAAACCAGACCAUUUUGA
RNAcentral lists this transfer RNA (70 nucleotides) under Indotyphlus maharashtraensis. RNAcentral describes it as "tRNA-Val". It matches the Rfam family "tRNA". From Rfam's summary of the family: Transfer RNA (tRNA) molecules are approximately 80 nucleotides in length. Their secondary structure includes four short double-helical elements and three loops (D, anti-codon, and T loops). Lineage: Eukaryota; Metazoa; Chordata; Amphibia; Gymnophiona; Indotyphlidae. The record is from RNAcentral.